This 200-nucleotide unclassified non-coding RNA is filed under the name Hevea brasiliensis (rubber tree). The record is from RNAcentral. Lineage: Eukaryota; Viridiplantae; Streptophyta; Magnoliopsida; Malpighiales; Euphorbiaceae.
GGUCGAUAGUAUCAAGAUCUUUGUUUAGUACAUAAGUUCCCCUAGCUGCAGCAUCAAGUUGCUUGGCAUGUUCAUGCUCUUUCUUAGUGAGCUUUCGAGGAAGGUUUAUGACGGUGCAAAAGGGGCAGGCGACAAUGGCAACAAGGGUAUGAGUUGCUAUCGCCACAGCAGCAAAAGUAACAGUUACAACGGAACCGAUA